AAUAGAUACCCAGGUAGUCCUGGCCGUAAACGAUGUCCACUAGAUCGCAGUGCCUCUGACGGUAUUGCGGUCGAAGCAAAAGUGCUAAGUGGACCGCCUGGGAAGUACGGUCGCAAGGCUAAAAACUCAAAGGGAAUUGACGGGGGGCUCACACAAGCGGUGGAGCAUGUGGUUCAAUUCGAAGCAACGCGCAGAACCUUACCUGGGCUUGACAUGCUAGGAUUAUCCCCAUGAAAGUGGGGUAGGCCCUUCGGGGUACAACUAGUACAGGUGCUGCAUGGCUGUCGUCAGCUCGUGUCGUGAGAUGUCGGGUUAAGUCCCUUAACGAGCGAAACCUUUACCCUUAGUUACCAGCGGGUUAUGCCGGGGACUCUAAGGGGACUGCCGGUGUCAAACCGGAGGAAGGUGGAGAUGACGUCAAGUCCUCAUGGCCUUUAUGCCCAGGGCCACACACGUGCUACAAUGGCGUGGACAGAGCGAACCAAGAGCGCAAGCUGGAGGAAAUCGCAGAAAUCAGCCCCAGUUCAGAUCGG
Molecule: ribosomal RNA, 533 nt
Filed under: uncultured bacterium
Lineage: Bacteria
Description: bacterial SSU rRNA
Rfam family: Bacterial small subunit ribosomal RNA
Source: RNAcentral